This 253-nucleotide ribosomal RNA is filed under the name uncultured bacterium. Its description in RNAcentral is "partial 16S ribosomal RNA". It matches the Rfam family "Bacterial small subunit ribosomal RNA", at positions 524 to 776 of the family's 1533-position model. The record is from RNAcentral.
UACGAAGGGGGCUAGCGUUGUUCGGAAUUACUGGGCGUAAAGCGCGUGUAGGCGGUUGUUCAAGUCAGGUGUGAAAGCCUUGAGCUCAACUCAAGAAAUGCACUUGAUAUUGGAUGACUAGAGGACCGGAGAGGAUAGUGGAAUUCCCAGUGUAGUGGUGAAAUACGUAGAUAUCGUCUGGAACGCCAAAGGUGAAAACAGUCUGCUGGGGACUUGCUGACGCUGAGACACGAAAGCCAGGGGAGCGAACGGG